Molecule: ribosomal RNA, 586 nt
Filed under: uncultured fungus
Lineage: Eukaryota; Fungi
Description: eukaryotic LSU rRNA
Rfam family: 5.8S ribosomal RNA (bases 188-341)
Source: RNAcentral
AGUCGUAACAAGGUCUCCGUUGGUGAACCAGCGGAGGGAUCAUUAUCGAGUUAUUCAGCUCCCAAACCCUAUGUGAACUUACCACUUGUUGCUUCGGCGCGCGCUUCGGCGCCGCCGAGGACACUUAAACUCUUUGUUUUUAUAAGCAUUUCUGAGUGGCCGAAAGGCAAAAAUACAAAUGAAUCAAAACUUUCAACAACGGAUCUCUUGGUUCUGGCAUCGAUGAAGAACGCAGCGAAAUGCGAUAAGUAAUGUGAAUUGCAGAAUUCAGUGAAUCAUCGAAUCUUUGAACGCACAUUGCGCCCGCCAGCAUUCUGGCGGGCAUGCCUGUUCGAGCGUCAUUUCAACCCUCGAGCCCGACUCUUUUGAGGACGGCUCGGCGUUGGGGGACGGCAGACUCCCCCCGGCAUCUCGCCGGGGACGCCGCCCCCGAAAUCUAGUGGCGGCCCUCCGAGGCGACCUCUGCGUAGUAACUUGUUCUCGCACCGGAAAGCUCAGAGCGGCCACGCCGUAAAACCCCAACUUUUUUCAGGUUGACCUCGAAUCAGGUAGGACUACCCGCUGAACUUAAGCAUAUCAAUAGUCG